AGAUAUCACUCUCAAUCAGAGAGGGGCAAAUCCCAUCUUGAUUGACCAUGUCUCAUAGCAUGCUUCUUGACAAACCCGAAAGCUACCUUUAUAACUACCCUGUUACGGCAUAGCGUUUGAUAGCCCCUAAGUAGGUCGAUCCACAUCUAGAAUACAUGCGACAAUCUCAGGUCUAAGGACAAAGCGUAUAUGUUGUUUAAAGAGAGAACUACUUCUCGUGUUGGGUCAGUCCUAGCACAUGUCUCCACAUGUGUCCACAUUAUUAGUUCAACAUCUCCAUGUCCAUGACUUGUGAAACAUAGUCAUCAACUAAUACAUGUGCUAGUCUAAUAUUCAUGUGUGUCCUCACAUGAACUCCG
Molecule: long non-coding RNA, 359 nt
Filed under: Setaria viridis
Lineage: Eukaryota; Viridiplantae; Streptophyta; Magnoliopsida; Poales; Poaceae
Description: long non-coding RNA (SVIR_LNC003112)
Source: RNAcentral